UGGGGAAUUUUGCACAAUGGGGGAAACCCUGAUGCAGCGACGCCGCGUGAUUUAGAAGGCCUUCGGGUUGUAAAAAUCUUUUCUAUGGGAAGAAAAUGACAGUACCAUAGGAAUAAGGACCGGCUAAUUACGUGCCAGCAGCCGCGGUAAUACGUAAGGUCCGAGCGUUGUCCGGAAUCAUUGGGCGUAAAGGGUACGUAGGCGGGUAAGCAAGUUAGAAGUGAAAUCCUGUAGCUCAACUACAGUAAGCUUUUAAAACUGCUUAUCUUGACAUCUGGAAGGGAAAGUGGAAUUCCUAGUGUAGCGGUGAAAUGCGCAGAUAUUAGGAGGAAUACCGGUGGCGAAGGCUACUUUCUGGCCAUGAUCUGACGCUGAGGUACGAAAGCGUGGGUAGCAAACAGG
This 402-nucleotide ribosomal RNA is filed under the name Verrucomicrobiota bacterium. Its description in RNAcentral is "Verrucomicrobia bacterium partial 16S ribosomal RNA". It matches the Rfam family "Bacterial small subunit ribosomal RNA", at positions 355 to 776 of the family's 1533-position model. The record is from RNAcentral. Lineage: Bacteria; Pseudomonadati; Verrucomicrobiota.